RNAcentral lists this ribosomal RNA (1344 nucleotides) under Parnassius apollo (apollo). Its description in RNAcentral is "16S ribosomal RNA". The stretch from base 1080 to 1239 matches the Rfam family "Eukaryotic large subunit ribosomal RNA", at positions 2825 to 2984 of the family's 3401-position model. Lineage: Eukaryota; Metazoa; Arthropoda; Insecta; Lepidoptera; Papilionidae. The record is from RNAcentral.
GGGGGAUAAAUUAAUAAAGUAUAAAUAAUAAAAAAAUUUUUAAUAUUAAAAUAUUUUAAUGGGGGUUAAAGUAUAUUUAAUAGAAAAAAUAGAAAAAUUUAUAGAAAAUUAGUAUUGUAAAAGAAAUUUGAAAUAUAUUGAAAAUAAAUUUAUUUAGAAGUAAAUUUAAUUUAUUGUAUCUUGUGUAUCAGAGUUUAUUAAUAAUAAUUUUUUUUUAAAAAUUUUCUCGAAUUUAAAAGAGAUAAUUAAUUAUUAAAGUUAAUGUUGUAUAAUUAUUUUAAAUAAUUAAUUGGAAAUGAAAUGUUAAUCGUUUUUAAAUAUAUCUAGUUUUUUUAGAAAAAAAUUUAAUUUUAAAUUUUAAAAAAAAUAUAAUUUUAAUUAAUUAAAAUUAUAUUUUUAAAAUUAAAUAUUUUAAGGGAUAAGCUUUAAAAUAAAUUUUUAUAAUAAAUUUUAAUAGUAAUUAAAAUUUUUAAAAUUUAUAUUGUUUAUAAAUUAUAGUUUUUUAUAAAUAAUUUUAAUUAAAUUAAAAUUUCAAAAUUUAUUUAAUUUUUUAUUAAAAAAUAUUUUUUAAUAGUUUAAAUUUAGAUAUAAUGAUAAAAUUAGUAUAUAAAUAAAUAAAUGUAAUUUAUUAUUUGAUAAUUUAAUAAAAGGAAUUCGGCAAAAAUUUAUAUUCACUUGUUUAUCAAAAACAUGUCUUUUUGAUUAAUAAUUUAAAGUCUAAUCUGCCCACUGAUAAUAAAUUAAAGGGCUGCAGUAUUUUGACUGUACAAAGGUAGCAUAAUCAUUAGUCUCUUAAUUGGUGACUUGUAUGAAGGAUUUGAUGAAAUAUAUACUGUCUCUUUUUAAUUUGUAAAAUUUAAUUUUUUAGUUAAAAAGCUAAAAUGUAUUUAAAAGACGAGAAGACCCUAUAGAGUUUUAUAUUUUUAUAAAUUAAAAUUUUUUAUAAGAUUUAAAAUUUUAAUUUAUAUAAAUAUUUUGUUGGGGUGAUAGAAAAAUUAAAAUAACUUUUUUUAUAAUUUUACAUUAAUAAAUGAAUAAAUGAUCCGUAAUUUACGAUUAUAAGAUAAAAUUACCUUAGGGAUAACAGCGUAAUUUUUUUUUUUAGUUCAAAUAAGAAAAAAAGUUUGCGACCUCGAUGUUGGAUUAAGAUAAAAUUUAAAUGCAAAAGUUUAAAAUUUUUGAUCUGUUCGAUCAUUAAAAUCUUACAUGAUCUGAGUUCAAACCGGUGUAAGCCAGGUUGGUUUCUAUCUUUAGAUUAAUAAAAUAUUUUAGUACGAAAGGAUCAAAUAUUUAAAAUAGUUUUAUUUAGAAGAAUUUUAAUAAUAGUAGGUAUUUUUAAAUAUG